This 208-nucleotide ribosomal RNA is filed under the name Prevotella illustrans. RNAcentral's name for it is "Prevotella sp. A2931 partial 23S ribosomal RNA". It matches the Rfam family "Bacterial large subunit ribosomal RNA", at positions 1 to 218 of the family's 2925-position model. Lineage: Bacteria; Pseudomonadati; Bacteroidota; Bacteroidia; Bacteroidales; Prevotellaceae. The record is from RNAcentral.
AAGAAAGUAAUGAAGGGCGGAUGGCGGAUGCCUAGGCUCACAGAGGCGAUGAAGGACGUGAUAAGCUGCGAUAAGCCGCGGGUAGGCGCAAAUAGCCCUUGAUCCGUGGAUUUCCGAAUGGGACAACCCGGCCGUCUGAAGGACGGUCACCCGCGCAUGAGCGUGGGAGCUAACCCGGGGAACUGAAACAUCUUAGUACCCGGAGGAA